GUUUCCAUAGUGUAGUGGUUAUCACGUUAAGCCUAACACGCAAAAAGGUCCCCAGUUCAAAACUGGGUGGAAACA
This 75-nucleotide transfer RNA is filed under the name Alosa alosa (allis shad). RNAcentral describes it as "tRNA-Val". It matches the Rfam family "tRNA". From Rfam's summary of the family: Transfer RNA (tRNA) molecules are approximately 80 nucleotides in length. Their secondary structure includes four short double-helical elements and three loops (D, anti-codon, and T loops). The record is from RNAcentral. Lineage: Eukaryota; Metazoa; Chordata; Actinopteri; Clupeiformes; Clupeidae.